This 165-nucleotide non-coding RNA is filed under the name bovine gut metagenome. The record is from RNAcentral.
ACCGUGAGGUUCAGGCGAGAAGAAGGGAUAGCGAAAUCGUAGCCUGACGAACAGAAACCUGAUACCAAGGCGCAUUAAGCGGAUAAGUUAGCAAAAGGCAACGAAGUCCAAAAGGUAACCGUAACCUUAAUGUUGUAAAUCAGGCAUGUAGACGAGGAAAGAGAA